This 460-nucleotide ribosomal RNA is filed under the name uncultured bacterium. RNAcentral describes it as "partial 16S ribosomal RNA". It matches the Rfam family "Bacterial small subunit ribosomal RNA", at positions 338 to 795 of the family's 1533-position model. The record is from RNAcentral.
CCUACGGGUGGCUGUAGUGAGGAAUAUUGGUCAAUGGGCGUAAGCCUGAACCAGCCAAGUCGCGUGAGGGAUGAAGGUUCUAUGGAUCGUAAACCUCUUUUAUAAGGGAAUAAAGUGCGGGACGUGUCCCGUUUUGUAUGUACCUUAUGAAUAAGGAUCGGCUAACUCCGUGCCAGCAGCCGCGGUAAUACGGAGGAUCCGAGCGUUAUCCGGAUUUAUUGGGUUUAAAGGGUGCGUAGGCGGCCUUUUAAGUCAGCGGUGAAAGUCUGUGGCUCAACCAUAGAAUUGCCGUUGAAACUGGGAGGCUUGAGUAUGUUUGAGGCAGGCGGAAUGCGUGGUGUAGCGGUGAAAUGCUUAGAUAUCACGCAGAACCCCGAUUGCGAAGGCAGCGUGCCGUGCCGCCACUGACGCUGAGGCACGAAAGCGCGGGGAUCGAACAGGAUUAGAUACCCUUGUAGUC